GGCCGAGUCUAACCUCAUUUAGUCUAUUCUUAAUAUUAAUUUUUUCUCCCUCCAUAGAUUCUUUGGUCAAGAAUUGUCUUCGAUUUUUUUUAUUUUGACUUGAUUGAAAUUAAGUGGAUGCAAUGAAAAAAGAAAUUGAUGGGAUCCGCCAGGCACGCGGCUUGGUUCCCUCCAGGCAGUACCGUAGGGGACAAGACAACUUUAUUUUUCCCUGCCAGUCUGCAACGGGUACAACUAU
RNAcentral lists this long non-coding RNA (238 nucleotides) under Brachypodium distachyon (stiff brome). Its description in RNAcentral is "long non-coding RNA (BDIS_LNC004489)". The record is from RNAcentral. Lineage: Eukaryota; Viridiplantae; Streptophyta; Magnoliopsida; Poales; Poaceae.